UACGUAGGGUGCAAGCGUUGUCCGGAAUUAUUGGGCGUAAAGAGCUCGUAGGCGGUUUGUUGCGUCGGCUGUGAAAUCCCGAGGCUCAACCUCGGGUCUGCAGUCGAUACGAGCAAACUAGAGUGUGGUAGGGGAGACUGGAAUUCCUGGUGUAGCGGUGAAAUGCGCAGAUAUCAGGAGGAACACCGAUGGCGAAGGCAGGUCUCUGGGCCAUAACUGACGCUGAGAAGCGAAAGCAUGGGGAGCGAACAGG
This 253-nucleotide ribosomal RNA is filed under the name uncultured bacterium. RNAcentral's name for it is "partial 16S ribosomal RNA". It matches the Rfam family "Bacterial small subunit ribosomal RNA", at positions 524 to 776 of the family's 1533-position model. The record is from RNAcentral.